Molecule: ribosomal RNA, 468 nt
Filed under: uncultured bacterium
Lineage: Bacteria
Description: partial 16S ribosomal RNA
Rfam family: Bacterial small subunit ribosomal RNA
Source: RNAcentral
GACGAACGCUGGCGGCGUGCUUAACACAUGCAAGUCGAACGGAAAGGCCCUGCUUUUGUGGGGUGCUCGAGUGGCGAACGGGUGAGUAACACGUGAGUAACCUGCCCUUGACUUUGGGGUAACUUCAGGAAACUGGGGCUAAUACCGGAUAGGAGCUCCUGCUGCAUGGUGGGGGUUGGAAAGUUUCGGCGGUUGGGGAUGGACUCGCGGCUUAUCAGCUUGUUGGUGGGGUAGUGGCUUACCAAGGCUUUGACGGGUAGCCGGCCUGGGAGGGUGGCCGGCCACAUGGGGCCUGAGAUACGGCCCAGACUGCAACGGGAGGCAGCAGGGGGGAAUAUGGCACAGUGGGCGGAAGCCAGAUGCAGCAACGCCGGGUGCGGGAUGACGGGCUUCGGGUGGGAAACCGCUGUCGCCUUAGACGAGGCGUUAGUGACGGUAACGGGUAAAGAAGCACCGGCUAACUACGUG